UAUAAUCUUCGUUUCAAUAUUGACAAUCUUUGGGUUCCUCUAAGGGGAAAAACAUUUUAGUUUUUUUUUAAAUAUAGUUUUUAAUGGUACUUUUAAAAACAUGAGCAUUAUACUGUUUUAAUUGUUGUGAGUCACCUUGGGUCCCCUAUCAGGAGAAAAAUGGCAUACAGGUAAUUAAUUAAUUAACAGUACAAUCCUAAAUCAACAAUGUGCUAGCCAUAAGGAAGUUUGAAUGGGAAAAGCCUUUUAGGCCAGCACAAUUACUCUGCACUCCUGGCUGACUGCAAAGACCUGCUGUGUUUGGCUUGGAGCAGAUGGCACAAAAGCAAAACAAGGAAUCGAGGAGUGGUGGAGUGAAGAAGCAGCUGAAGUCUAUCCAGACCUAAACCCUCAUCAGCCCACAAACACAACCACCAUGCCUGCAUAAAGCUCGGCCAAUGCCAAGAUAGCCUUAAGUAAUUUCUAGGCUGGGGGUGGGGUGGGGAGGGGUGGGAAUUUGGAUUCAACACAGCUUCACCUCGUUUUCAGCCAUAAUGGCUAAUGAGGAUUGCAUUUCUACAGUAAUUGGAUUGCUUAUUAUAUGGUACUUCAAGGGUAGUGGGAUACUCCUUCAUAGGAGGCUUUUAAACCAGAGGCCAAAUUACCCUCUUGCAGGGAUGCUUUAGCUAUAUAUUUUGUGCUUUGGCCAGGAGACAGAUUUGAUAACUCUUUAUGGUCCUUUUCCAGCUCUUGAGAUCUAUAAUUAUAAUUGUGAUAAGGGCAUGCAGUUCUUCAUUGUCUUCAGUGUGCUGCAUUAGCAUGAGGGAAAAAUAAACCAAAGAAGUUGAGCAAUGAGAAAGAUCAUUUCUCAUAAAUAUGCUUAGUACUCAUGUCAAAAGCCCAACUACAGAGUUCUGGGAAACAAAAUCAGAGUUUACUGCUUUAAAGGGGCCAAAUCCCCACUGUUCCUCAACAGUUACAACUAGGACUACAGCUGUCCUUUUGCUUCCAGAGGUGACGACCCACGUUCAACCGUUUCCUAAGAGGCAGAAAUCAA
Molecule: long non-coding RNA, 1036 nt
Filed under: Pogona vitticeps (central bearded dragon)
Lineage: Eukaryota; Metazoa; Chordata; Lepidosauria; Squamata; Agamidae
Description: lncRNA (ENSPVIG00000019978.1)
Source: RNAcentral